Molecule: ribosomal RNA, 406 nt
Filed under: uncultured bacterium
Lineage: Bacteria
Description: partial 16S ribosomal RNA
Rfam family: Bacterial small subunit ribosomal RNA
Source: RNAcentral
AUUGAACGCUGGCGGCAGGCUUAACACAUGCAAGUCGAGCGAGCGGCGGACGGGUGAGUAAUGUCUGGGAAACUGCCUGAUGGAGGGGGAUAACUACUGGAAACGGUAGCUAAUACCGCAUACCAUCAGAUGUGCCCAGAUGGGAUUGGCUAGUAGGUGGGGUAAGGGCUCACCUAGGCGCCGAUCCCUAGCUGGUCUGAGAGGAUGACCAGCCACACUGGAAAUGAGACAAGGGCCAGACUCCUACGGGAGGCAGCAGUGGGGAAUAUUGAACAAUGGGCGCAAGCCUGAUAGAGCCAUGCCGCGUUGGUGAAGAAGGCCUUCGGGUUGUAAAGCACUUUCAGCGGGGAGGCGUUACUCGCAGAAGAAGCACCGGCUAACUCCGGGCCAGCAGCCGCGGUAAUAC